Stegodyphus dumicola is the source of this 1357-nucleotide long non-coding RNA. RefSeq lists it as uncharacterized. The record is from RefSeq and is a predicted model, not a curated record. Lineage: Eukaryota; Metazoa; Arthropoda; Arachnida; Araneae; Eresidae.
UUAUGCUUUUAAAGUGUUGUGUGCCAUUAUGCGGAAGAAAUUUUAAUGAUGACCAUAAAGUGUGUACAACAGAUUUCCAAAACAAGACUUGUUGAAUGGAUGGUUGAAAUCAAUACUGCGAGAAAAUCUUACCACUUCGAAAGAUUCUAUGGAAAUUAACAGUGGAUUUUGGUUGCUUGCAGUGGAUGUGGCUACUUGCUUUCUUUGUCUUGAUGCAGCUCGAUUGAAUGAUGGCCCUGUGUGUGAACAGAAGGCAGGAGACCCGUCCACGAAAGAUGAAAAAGGUGGCAGAGGACCUUCUACCUCCACCUCCAAUAGGGCCAAUUAGAGUGUGUGUAGAAUUGCCCAUACUGCUAGGCAUCCUUGGAGAAAACGAUUUCCAGAGGGAGCACAAGCUUCUGUAGAAGAGGAUGAAGAAGAAGAAGAAGAAAUUGUAACGGAAUGCUCAGAGGGAGCAUCUUCCUUGCAAAUGGAGGAAGAUGUGAGAAGGAAGCGGAGUGAAGGAACAAGGAGGAAAUGUUGUAGAAAGUCUUCAGGGCAGCUAAGAGGAAAAAAAAAAAAGUAAAAGAUUUCACGGAAACGUUUUACACUAGUUAAAGUAAGAGAAGCAAGUUUUGACGGGGCCCCGGAGACAGGUUGGCAAGACACUCUCCUUGAACAGAAAGGUCUGAAGUUCUAUCCCGGUAAGUAAGUAAUAUUGAAUUAUGAUAGUUAAACACGAAAUAAUGUGUAAUAGAAGCAUAUAUGGUAUAUUAAUAAAUAAGUAAUAAUACAAUGUGUUAUGAGUUGCAGGUAGAAAGAAAGAGGGGCUCCCCACGGAACAAGGAAAUAACCGGGUGGCACUCGAAAUAGCCCCAAAAAAGUAGGAGAUUAUUUAAGAGGAAAAUAGUGCCACCCGGGAGGGGCUUUUGCAAAAUUUUUCCAUCUCCUGGGCUGGGGGGUGUAAAUUUUAAAUUUAAUUUUGAAGUUUAUUUCUAAUGUUUGAAGUUUCUAAUACAAAUAUUGUUGUUGCAGUCGCCUAGUGAGUAUCUGAAAUGUUUCUGUGCUGUGCUACUGCUCUUAUAAGCAAUGUAUCAGAAUAUUUAAAAAUAAAUAAAUAAAAAUAAAUUUGUUUUACGAAUAAUGGGUUUAUAUUGUUUAUGUUUAAAUAUUCAUUAACAUAUUUUUGGCGUUUAGAAAUCAGUUCGUCCCGGAAAGUUAAAUUUAUCGUCGUUUAGAAAUUUUAGGCUUUUGCCUCUAACCUCUUCAUUUUUGUAAAUAUAUUAACUUGUUUUAUUUAUGGAAGUAAUUAUAAAUUAAUUUUAUGAACUCGAAAUAUUUAUAUUUUUUCCUAUAAUUCAAUUCAUUUUCCACAAAA